GGUGAACGCUGGCGGCGUGCCUAAUACAUGCCAGUCGAGCGAACGGACGAGAAGCUUGCUUCUCUGAUGUUAGCGGCGGACGGGUGAGUAACACGUGGAUAACCUACCUAUAAGACUGGGAUAACUUCGGGAAACCGGAGCUAAUACCGGAUGAUAUUUUGAACCGCAUGGUUCAAAAGUGAAAGACGGUCUUGCUGUCACUUAUAGAUGGAUCCGCGCUGCAUUAGCUAGUUGGUAAGGUAACGGCUUACCAAGGCAACGAUGCAUAGCCGACCUGAGAGGGUGAUCGGCCACACUGGAACUGAGACACGGUCCAGACUCCUACGGGAGGCAGCAGUAGGGAAUCUUCCGCAAUGGGCGAAAGCCUGACGGAGCAACGCCGCGUGAGUGAUGAAGGUCUUCGGAUCGUAAAACUCUGUUAUUAGGGAAGAACAUAUGUGUAAGUAACUGUGCACAUCUUGACGGUACCUAAUCAGAAAGCCACGGCUAACUACGU
This 496-nucleotide ribosomal RNA is filed under the name uncultured bacterium. RNAcentral describes it as "partial 16S ribosomal RNA". It matches the Rfam family "Bacterial small subunit ribosomal RNA", at positions 28 to 506 of the family's 1533-position model. The record is from RNAcentral.